UUCGUUUUACUUGGAAAACAUUCCUCUGUUCCUUUUUGUUUUUCUCAAAAAAGAUUGUUUUCAGGUUAUACCAUACCAAAAGGAUGGAAAGUUUUGGUGUGGUCCAGGGCUACUUACAUGGAUCCUAACAUUUAUUCUAACCCAAAAGAGUUCCUUCCUUCCAGAUGGGAGGCUUAAAGAGCUAAAUCCAAAAGCUCCAAUCAAGCACCUACACUUGCCACGCCCAGCAGACGACUGUCUUGCAAGAAUCAUUAAGCUCCCAUAAUCAUCUCAUUUGGGAUCAAAUUCCUUUCUCUGCUUAACCUUAGUUUUACCAAGAAACAUAGAGUUUAAUAAGAUGUUUUCUCAUGUGAAUCAUCGAGUGGAAUAUGUAAGAUGCUUUGUGUUAAGAAUAAAUGUUAGUUCUUGGUAGGUUUA
This is a long non-coding RNA of Gossypium arboreum, 417 nucleotides long. RefSeq lists it as uncharacterized. Lineage: Eukaryota; Viridiplantae; Streptophyta; Magnoliopsida; Malvales; Malvaceae. The record is from RefSeq and is a predicted model, not a curated record. The transcript is spliced from 2 exons.